RNAcentral lists this ribosomal RNA (1451 nucleotides) under uncultured Bacteroidaceae bacterium. RNAcentral describes it as "16S ribosomal RNA". It matches the Rfam family "Bacterial small subunit ribosomal RNA". The record is from RNAcentral. Lineage: Bacteria; Pseudomonadati; Bacteroidota; Bacteroidia; Bacteroidales; Bacteroidaceae.
GAUGAACGCUAGCUACAGGCUUAACACAUGCAAGUCGAGGGGCAGCAUGGUCUUAGCUUGCUAAGACUGAUGGCGACCGGCGCACGGGUGAGUAACACGUAUCCAACCUGCCUGUUACUUGAGAACAGCCUUCUGAAAAGAAGAUUAAUGCUCAAUGGUAUUAUGAUUUCCCAUGUAAUCAUAAUUAAAGAUUUAUCGGUAACAGAUGGGGAUGCGUUCCAUUAGAUAGUAGGCGGGGUAACGGCCCACCUAGUCAACGAUGGAUAGGGGUUCUGAGAGGAAGGUCCCCCACAUUGGAACUGAGACACGGUCCAAACUCCUACGGGAGGCAGCAGUGAGGAAUAUUGGUCAAUGGAUGAGAAUCUGAACCAGCCAAGUAGCGUGAAGGAUGACUGCCCUAUGGGUUGUAAACUUCUUUUAUAAAGGAAUAAAGUGAGUUACGUGUAACUCAUUGCAUGUACUUUAUGAAUAAGGAUCGGCUAACUCCGUGCCAGCAGCCGCGGUAAUACGGAGGAUUCGAGCGUUAUCCGGAUUUAUUGGGUUUAAAGGGAGCGUAGAUGGAUGUUUAAGUCAGUUGUGAAAGUUUGAGGCUUAACCUUAAAAUUGCAGUUGAUACUGGACAUCUUGAGUACGGAUGAGGCAGGCGGAAUUCGUGGUGUAGCGGUGAAAUGCUUAGAUAUCACGAAGAACUCCGAUUGCGAAGGCAGCUUGCUAAACCGUCACUGACAUUGAUGCUCGAAAGUGUGGGUAUCAAACAGGAUUAGAUACCCUGGUAGUCCACACGGUAAACGAUGAAUACUCGCUGUAGGCGAUAUACGGUCUGCGGCUUAGCGAGAGCGUUAAGUAUUCCACCUGGGGAGUACGCCGGCAACGGUGAAACUCAAAGGAAUUGACGGGGGCCCGCACAAGCGGAGGAACAUGUGGUUUAAUUCGAUGAUACGCGAGGAACCUUACCCGGGCUUGAAUUGCAUCUGAGUGGAGUAGAGAUACUUCAGCCGGCAACGGCAGAUGUGAAGGUGCUGCAUGGUUGUCGUCAGCUCGUGCCGUGAGGUGUCGGCUUAAGUGCCAUAACGAGCGCAACCCUUGUUGACAGUUACUAACAGUUAAAGCUGAGGACUCUGUCGAGACUGCCAUCGUAAGAUGUGAGGAAGGUGGGGAUGACGUCAAAUCAGCACGGCCCUUACGUCCGGGGCUACACACGUGUUACAAUGGGGAGUACAGAAGGCAGCUACACGGCGACGUGAUGCUAAUCCCAAAAGCUCCUCUCAGUUCGGAUCGAAGUCUGCAACCCGACUUCGUGAAGCUGGAUUCGCUAGUAAUCGCGCAUCAGCCAUGGCGCGGUGAAUACGUUCCCGGGCCUUGUACACACCGCCCGUCAAGCCAUGGAAGCCGAGGGUACCUGAAGUGCGUAACCGCAAGGAGCGUCCUAGGGUAAAAUUGGUAACUGGGGC